CGAGUGGCGAAAUUCUUCCACCCUCCGUCAAGUUUAUCCGUCGGCGAACAACGAACCAUCACGCGAGCAACGACGUCUUAUAGACUCCGGCGACCCAUCUUUCCGCAACCUCACCCACGAAUCGGACUUGCAACACGAGACCCACUUCGAACAAGCUUUACAGCAGCGUUCCUCACUUGUUCGACGAGCUUUGGCAUUGACCCGCACUCCGGUUGGCUUCAAAUUAGUGUACCCAUAACGUUUAAGG
RNAcentral lists this unclassified non-coding RNA (247 nucleotides) under Hevea brasiliensis (rubber tree). The record is from RNAcentral. Lineage: Eukaryota; Viridiplantae; Streptophyta; Magnoliopsida; Malpighiales; Euphorbiaceae.